Molecule: ribosomal RNA, 536 nt
Filed under: Corynebacterium sp.
Lineage: Bacteria; Bacillati; Actinomycetota; Actinomycetes; Mycobacteriales; Corynebacteriaceae
Description: bacterial SSU rRNA
Rfam family: Bacterial small subunit ribosomal RNA
Source: RNAcentral
AUAGGACAACUUUUUGGAUAUUGUUGUGGAAAGCUUUUGCGGUAUGGGAUGAGCUCGCGGCCUAUCAGCUUGUUGGUGGGGUAAUGGCCUACCAAGGCGUCGACGGGUAGCCGGCCUGAGAGGGUGUACGGCCACAUUGGGACUGAGAUACGGCCCAGACUCCUACGGGAGGCAGCAGUGGGGAAUAUUGCACAAUGGGCGCAAGCCUGAUGCAGCGACGCCGCGUGGGGGAUGAAGGCCUUCGGGUUGUAAACUCCUUUCGCUAGGGACGAAGCGCAAGUGACGGUACCUGGAGAAGAAGCACCGGCUAACUACGUGCCAGCAGCCGCGGUAAUACGUAGGGUGCGAGCGUUGUCCGGAAUUACUGGGCGUAAAGAGCUCGUAGGUGGUUUGUCGCGUCGUUUGUGUAAGUCCACAGCUUAACUGUGGGACUGCAGGCGAUACGGGCAUAACUUGAGUGCUGUAGGGGAGACUGGAAUUCCUGGUGUAGCGGUGAAAUGCGCAGAUAUCAGGAGGAACACCGAUGGCGAAGGCAG